AUUUAAAUAGCUUAAAAUUAGAGUUUAAUAUUGAAGAUAUUAAGGUGAUUUAUUAAAAUCUUUAAAUA
RNAcentral lists this transfer RNA (68 nucleotides) under Syrista parreyssii. Its description in RNAcentral is "tRNA-Phe". The record is from RNAcentral. Lineage: Eukaryota; Metazoa; Arthropoda; Insecta; Hymenoptera; Cephidae.